UGGAUGGGUAGGGGAGCGUCGUGUGCCGGGUGAAGCAGCCGCGGAAGCGAGUUGUGGACGGUUCACGAGUGAGAAUGCAGGCAUGAGUAGCGAUACACACGUGAGAAACGUGUGCGCCGAUUGACUAAGGGUUCCUGGGUCAAGCUGAUCUGCCCAGGGUAAGUCGGGACCUAAGGCGAGGCCGACAGGCGUAGUCGAUGGACAACCGGUUGAUAUUCCGGUACCCGCUUUGAAACGCCCAGUACUGAAUCAGGCGAUGCUAAGUCCGUGAAGCCGGCCUGAUCUCUUCGGAGUUGAGGGUAGUGGUGGAGCCGAUGAACCAGACUUGUAGUAGGUAAGCGAUGGGGUGACGCAGGAAGGUAGUCCAGCCCGGGCGGUGGUUGUCCCGGGGUAAGGGUGUAGGCCGUGUGGUAGGUAAAUCCGUCACACGUUAAGGCUGAGACCUGAUGCCGAGCCGAUUGUGGUGAAGUGGAUGAUCCUAUGCUGUCGAGAAAAGCCUCUAGCGAGUUUCAUGGCGGCCCGUACCCUAAACCGACUCAGGUAGUCAGGUAGAGAAUACCGAGGCGUUCGGGUGAACUAUGGUUAAGGAACUCGGCAAAAUGCCCCCGUAACUUCGGGAGAAGGGGGGCCAUCACUGGUGAUUGGAUUUACUCCAUGAGCUGGGGGUGGCCGCAGAGACCAGCGAGAAGCGACUGUUUACUAAAAACACAGGUCCGUGCGAAGCCGUAAGGCGAUGUAUACGGACUGACGCCUGCCCGGUGCUGGAACGUUAAGGGGACCGGUUAGUGCACUUUCGGGUGUGCGAAGCUGAGAACUUAAGCGCCAGUAAACGGCGGUGGUAACUAUAACCAUCCUAAGGUAGCGAAAUUCCUUGUCGGGUAAGUUCCGACCUGCACGAAUGGCGUAACGACUUCUCGACUGUCUCAACCAUAGGCCCGGUGAAAUUGCACUACGAGUAAAGAUGCUCGUUUCGCGCAGCAGGACGGAAAGACCCCGGGACCUUUACUAUAGUUUGAUAUUGGUGUUCGGUUCGGCUUGUGUAGGAUAGGUGGGAGACUUUGAAGCGGCCACGCCAGUGGUUGUGGAGUCGCCGUUGAAAUACCACUCUGGUCGUGCUGGAUGUCUAACCUGGGUCCGUGAUCCGGAUCAGGGACAGUGUCUGAUGGGUAGUUUAACUGGGGCGGUUGCCUCCUAAAGAGUAACGGAGGCGCCCAAAGGUUCCCUCAGCCUGGUUGGCAAUCAGGUGUUGAGUGUAAGUGCACAAGGGAGCUUGACUGUGAGACCGACGGGUCGAGCAGGGACGAAAGUCGGGACUAGUGAUCCGGCAGUGGCUUGUGGAAGCGCUGUCGCUCAACGGAUAAAAGGUACCCCGGGGAUAACAGGCUGAUCUUCCCCAAGAGUCCAUAUCGACGGGAUGGUUUGGCACCUCGAUGUCGGCUCGUCGCAUCCUGGGGCUGGAGUCGGUCCCAAGGGUUGGGCUGUUCGCCCAUUAAAGCGGUACGCGAGCUGGGUUUAGAACGUCGUGAGACAGUUCGGUCCCUAUCCGCUGUGCGCGUAGGAAUAUUGAGAAGGGCUGUCCCUAGUACGAGAGGACCGGGACGGACGAACCUCUGGUGUGCCAGUUGUUCUGCCAAGGGCAUGGCUGGUUGGCUACGUUCGGAAAGGAUAACCGCUGAAAGCAUCUAAGCGGGAAGCCUGCUUCGAGAUGAGUGUUCCCACCACCUUGAGUGGUUAAGGCUCCCAGUAGACGACUGGGUUGAUAGGCCAGAUGUGGAAGCCCGGUAACGGGUGGAGCUGACUGGUACUAAUAGGCCGAGGGCUUGUCCUCAGUUG
This 1833-nucleotide ribosomal RNA is filed under the name Streptomyces sp. SID4941. Its description in RNAcentral is "partial 23S ribosomal RNA". It matches the Rfam family "Bacterial large subunit ribosomal RNA", at positions 1221 to 2925 of the family's 2925-position model. Lineage: Bacteria; Bacillati; Actinomycetota; Actinomycetes; Kitasatosporales; Streptomycetaceae. The record is from RNAcentral.